Osmerus eperlanus (European smelt) is the source of this 3180-nucleotide long non-coding RNA. RefSeq lists it as uncharacterized. NCBI's taxonomy places the organism in Eukaryota, Metazoa, Chordata, Actinopteri, Osmeriformes, Osmeridae. The transcript is spliced from 3 exons. The record is from RefSeq and is a predicted model, not a curated record.
GGAAAUAUUGAACAAGCAAACUUGCUUGUUCUUUAUCCUCGAUUCUCUAUUAUCAUCCCAACAUUCCCAAUACAAAAACCAUGUUGUACAAAUAUAUAGAAUUGUCUGUCACAUGGCUCUUCUUUCAUUGGCUCCCUUGCAUAGAUCCUGCACGCGUGCGUGCGUGCGUGCAUAUGUCUUAAAGUGGCCCUGCUUAGGCUAACUAAAUGAAAUGCUCAGAUAAGAUAAGGAUCUUCCUGUUUACCUAAGCCUUUACCAUGCAUAUAGUUCACCUGGGGGGUUGGCCUCUCUCUACACAAAUGGAAUGCUGAACACAGUAUCAUUAUUAUACAGGAUAAAGAGUUACAUCUUCAACUUUUCUGAUAUUGGAUUACGUGGGUCACUCUGUCUAAUGAGGGGAGGUGCAGCUAUGACAGUACCUGCCAAAUGAACCCCUCUGUGCUGACUCACUCUGGGGGCCCAGAUGGAUUCUGUCACAAUAUUGAUCCUCUUUCUACAGGCUGUCAGGCUGUCUGGUCACAGAGGAAGGCUGUGCUUCUCUGGCCUCAGCUCUGAGGUCCAACCCCUUCCACCUUAGGGAACUGGACCUGAGCUACAAUCAUCCAGGAGAAAAAGGAUUGAAGCUGCUCUCUGCUGGACUGGAGGAUCCACACUGCAGACUGGAGAAACUCAAGCUAAUUAUACCAUGCAGUUCGUCAGUGAUGAAGUAAGCAAACAGCGCUUGAUCGGCCAUGACUGACGUCAACGCAGCAAACCAGGAAGCAGGAAUGUCCGACUUUACGCAGCCGUUUAUAACUCUUCCCCGACUGCAAGCAGCAACUCUCGCUGGUCGUUUCAUGCAGCCGAUGUCGAACGCACCUAUGGUUUACGGAGCGCUAGAUUGGCUUUGCCAAAGAAUGCCGCAUUUUAAAUAUCGCUCCAUCACGCGAAUUUGAUCGUGGGAAGCCAAAAUCGUGAUUAAAAUUUUAUUAAUUGUGCAGCCCUACUACACCCAGUUCUGGCUAUGUUAACCGCUUUGUGUUUAAACUUACUGAUGUUAACUGUUAUUUCUAACUCUGUUUACGUCAGGGUUGGUUGCUCCUUCCAUGCUUGUUUGUUUACUGUUCUUCGUCUUUCUUGUCUUAUGAGGAGGGUUAGACAGGAUCUUUUUCUCUCUUCCGGGCUUCCCCUGGUAACCCUCGUGUUUCACGUCACUACGCUGUGAAUUGUGGGCAAGUCUGCAAAAAUGCAGACUUAAGGGUGCAUAAAAUGUCUUCGAAAGAGCCCUCGCGGAUUUGACAAUUUGACAGUGGGACAGCCCUAAGCCCUUACAGACUUAGUGAGAACGUGCCUCAAAGUCUGUGAGGGUGGACAUUGGGAUUGGGCCUAACCGUUCGUAAACUCCAGAUUGAUUGUCCUGUUGUAAGUAAGUAAGACUUUAUUUAUAUAUCACUUUUCAUACAAGAAUUGCAGCUCAAAGUGCUUUACAUAAAAUCAACAAAACAAUAAUACAAGUGUUGAUCUAAACUAGCCGCACUCUAUCUGCGGUCUCUCGAAUCCAUCUUAGAUCCGAGCUGCCACUUGCAGUUUCUAAUUAAUUUCUAGUUUCUAGGGGGGACAUUGGGAUUGGGCCUAACUGUUCGUAAACUCCAGAUUGAUUGUCCUGUUGUCUCUGAGGGAAAAAGCUGUUUGACCCGUGCAUUGAUUCAGAGCGUGCACGGAGAGAGGGGCUUUUUCACAGACGGGUCUGUUGUAGUGAGAGAGAGAGAGAACGCGAGCGGGGCAAGAAGGGGCUGAGCGAAUCAGUGUGCUGCGUGCAGCUCUACUAUUAAAUAUUUUUUUUGUGAUGUUAAACAGUAAAAGCAAAAACACCAUUUUAUAAAUUUGUGGUGGUAAAUCUCUAAUUGUGGCGGGCCGUUACAAAUAAAUUAAUGUAUGGGAAACACUGAAAACUCUGGGUGUGUUACCACGGUAACUGACUGUGAACCUCACCUGCUUGCUGGCAGCUUUUCUGUAACAAACCGUGAGUUUCUCCCUCUCCCCUCCCUCAUGCUGAGCCUGAAGCAACUGUCAGACAUGGGGUGUCCUUUCCUCAUCAACCUGAUUGUUGUUGAAGCCAUAUAACACAUACGGAUGACAUGAAAUUCUACAGUUUUCCAUGCAGAGCUAACCUGGCAUUUACUGAACAUCUCACUGUUAAUCUGUGCUGUGGAGGUUGAUGGACCCUCCUUCUCGUAAUCUUGUCAUUAAAAAGGAGAAGAAUGUGCCAGUUGUUUUGCGCACAUAGGAUUGUUCCAUUUCUUCUUCACCUGUAGUAAGACGUUAGCCUGGUCCUAACCAGACUCUCGUACAUUUCAUUUGUACAGAGAGUCUGGGCUCGCUCCCUUGACAAGCGUUAACUUCCUUGAAGGCGGGUAUUCUGUUGAAGUUUAAAACUAUUGGAUCUGCCCAGAGCCACUCUGGAUCUGCCAUAACCAAUCGCUAGCGUUCGCCUUAGCCAACUCCUUCAUCACUAACGGAGCGAGCUGGAAAAUCAAACGAACCCCGUGGGGAGCAAAGAUUGUUCUUGCUCCGGCUUUAACUUCUGGAUAUUCGGCAGCGUUGCCACAACAGACCGAAUGGCUUCGCUCGCAUCUUUCUUUGCCGCCAUUACAGAACUACAACUCAAACUAGCGCACGACAUCAACGUCAUCGUUCUCAGCCACUCCCUCUGUUCGCUGAUUGGACGGUAAAAAUACAGAAGCAAAAUGAAAAUUGAGCGGAAGUACGUAGGAGGGCAGAGCCAGGCUAGUAAGACGUGGUUAAAUGUCAAAUUAAUAUACUGCUUUGAAAUGUACUGAAUGAACAAUUGCCUCUUUUGCUGUUGAAGUUGUUUUUCUGCUUUCUGAAAAUGUCUUCAUACUCGGCUGCACGCAUGAGAAUUUCUAAUUCUCUGGAUAAGAGCGUCUGCUAAAUGACUAAAUGUAAUUCCAGUGAAUUAGAAAUGAACUAACUCAGAUCAGCUGUUCUGGAAGUGAUAACUUUGAGCUUCCCAUCUCAGGGUUCAUCAAGUCAGAGUUCAGGGUUCGGCUCAGAGUUUGUAAAACCUGCUUUCUGGAAUACACCUCUGAUGAUAAGAGAGAAACAACAUGUUUACUUAGAAAGUCAGUUGCUAAGUCACUUAUCAACAGGUGAAGUGUAUUUUCAUCAUUCCUCUGCUUA